This 600-nucleotide unclassified non-coding RNA is filed under the name Hevea brasiliensis (rubber tree). The record is from RNAcentral. Lineage: Eukaryota; Viridiplantae; Streptophyta; Magnoliopsida; Malpighiales; Euphorbiaceae.
GGAUUUUUGGGUCAAGAUGGGUUUCACGAUCAUAUAUUGAAGGAUCCCUCUUCAAGGAAAGGGAAUAGUCAGAACUGAUCCCAAUCUGAGGAGCAGGAGCUGAAUGGAGUGAGGGCUGAGUUUUGUCAGCCCUGGAAUCAGCAGAGCGUUCCUGGGAAAUUGUUGCAUUGUAAGUUUUCUCAAAUACAGGAAUGACACUAUGAUCAACCAAGAACUUUCUCAGGUGUCCUAUUACUGCUUCUAAUGCUUUUAAAACCUUUAGAGCUUCACCAUGUAUCUCGACAAUUCUCUCAUCUGAAGUAGCAUAUGAAGGCGCUUCCUCUUCUGCCAAAACACGUACAACAGCACCAGUAUUUUCCUGUAUUGAUUUGAUUGUAGAUCCCUGUUUCCCGAUUAAGUUAAUCGCCUGUGAAGAAGCAACCAGUAAUCGUAUGGAGCAAAAUGCAGCACCAGCAACAGCAACAGCUGAACCUAUACUGUCAGCCUCACCAGCAGAUAGACCACUAACACGUUUGUACACUCUUAAUACAGCAUCCAUCGCAGGAGAUAGUGCUGCUUCUGGUUCUUCUUUUCCAGAUAUCAAAACAACACGAUCAGGAA